UGUUGCUGUGAGACUCGCAGUACUGAAUGCGAUCAACCAAGGAUGGAGAAACAUCACUAUGGUACUGGACAACAGGGAGCUGGUGGAAUGCAUUAAGAAAACAAGAAACAGCAACCAACUGAUGGCUACUCUAAUAGAUGACAUUCAGUCCAUAAGUAAUUUGUUUCAUAAGUGUUCUUUCUCUUUUGCUAAUUCAAGGUAUGUAGGAAGUAUUAAGUUGAGCUUGCAUGCUCUAAACAUCUUUUUAGAUGAAGAAUGGGUGAAUCCAAUCUUAGGUGCUAGGCACCAACAAUUUUUGUAGAACGGUAGUCCUUUUGAUUGGACCUUUGUCCAAAUACUGUAAAGUAUUCGGUUAUAAAUAUAAAGCUAACGUUUCGAC
This 379-nucleotide long non-coding RNA is filed under the name Coffea arabica (coffee). RNAcentral describes it as "long non-coding RNA (CARA_LNC006073)". Lineage: Eukaryota; Viridiplantae; Streptophyta; Magnoliopsida; Gentianales; Rubiaceae. The record is from RNAcentral.